UACGGGGGGGGCAAGCGUUGUUCGGAAUUACUGGGCGUAAAGGGCUCGUAGGCGGCCAACUAAGUCAGACGUGAAAUCCCUCGGCUUAACCGGGGAACUGCGUCUGAUACUGGAUGGCUUGAGGUUGGGAGAGGGAUGCGGAAUUCCAGGUGUAGCGGUGAAAUGCGUAGAUAUUGGGAGGAACACCAGUGGCGAAGGCGGCUCACUGGACCGGAACUGACGCUGAUGCGCGAAAGCGUGGGGAGCAAACGGG
This 253-nucleotide ribosomal RNA is filed under the name uncultured bacterium. RNAcentral's name for it is "partial 16S ribosomal RNA". It matches the Rfam family "Bacterial small subunit ribosomal RNA", at positions 524 to 776 of the family's 1533-position model. The record is from RNAcentral.